GACGAACGCUGGCGGCGUGCCUAAUACAUGCAAGUCGAGCGGAAUGAUGAAGAAGCUUGCUUCUUCUGAUUUUAGCGGCGGACGGGUGAGUAACACGUGGGCAACCUACCUUGUAGAUUGGGAUAACUCCGGGAAACCGGGGCUAAUACCGAAUAAUCCAUUUUGCUUCAUGGCGAGAUGUUAAAAGGCGGCUUCGGCUGUCACUACGAGAUGGGCCCGCGGCGCAUUAGCUAGUUGGUAGGGUAAUGGCCUACCAAGGCGACGAUGCGUAGCCGACCUGAGAGGGUGAUCGGCCACACUGGGACUGAGACACGGCCCAGACUCCUACGGGAGGCAGCAGUAGGGAAUCUUCCACAAUGGACGAAAGUCUGAUGGAGCAACGCCGCGUGAGUGAAGAAGGUUUUCGGAUCGUAAAACUCUGUUGUAAGGGAAGAACACGUACGAGAGUAACUGCUCGUACCUUGACGGUACCUUAUUAGAAAGCCACGGCUAACUACGUG
Molecule: ribosomal RNA, 500 nt
Filed under: uncultured bacterium
Lineage: Bacteria
Description: bacterial SSU rRNA
Rfam family: Bacterial small subunit ribosomal RNA
Source: RNAcentral